CCGGCGCACGGGUGAGUAACGCGUAUGCAACCUGCCCGUUUCAGCGGGAUAACCCGGAGAAAUCCGGCCUAAUACCGCAUGUGGCCGAGGGGAGGCAUCUUCUUUCGGCCAAAGGAGGCGACUCCGGAGACGGAUGGGCAUGCGUGACAUUAGCUAGUUGGCGGGGUAACGGCCCACCAAGGCGACGAUGCGUAGGGGUUCUGAGAGGAAGGUCCCCCACACUGGUACUGAGACACGGACCAGACUCCUACGGAAGGCAGCAG
Molecule: ribosomal RNA, 263 nt
Filed under: uncultured bacterium
Lineage: Bacteria
Description: partial 16S ribosomal RNA
Rfam family: Bacterial small subunit ribosomal RNA
Source: RNAcentral